GCUCCUGUGGUGCAAUCGGUUAGCGCACGGUACUAAUAAUGCCGAGGUUGUGAGUUCCAGCCUCACCUGGAGCA
This 74-nucleotide transfer RNA is filed under the name Dallia pectoralis (Alaska blackfish). Its description in RNAcentral is "tRNA-OTHER". It matches the Rfam family "tRNA". Rfam says of the family: Transfer RNA (tRNA) molecules are approximately 80 nucleotides in length. Their secondary structure includes four short double-helical elements and three loops (D, anti-codon, and T loops). Further hydrogen bonds mediate the characteristic L-shaped molecular structure. tRNAs have two regions of fundamental functional importance: the anti-codon, which is responsible for specific mRNA codon recognition, and the 3' end, to which the tRNAs corresponding amino acid is attached (by aminoacyl-tRNA synthetases). tRNAs cope with the degeneracy of the genetic code in two manners: having more than one tRNA (with a specific anti-codon) for a particular amino acid; and 'wobble' base-pairing, i.e. permitting non-standard base-pairing at the 3rd anti-codon position. Lineage: Eukaryota; Metazoa; Chordata; Actinopteri; Esociformes; Umbridae. The record is from RNAcentral.